This 369-nucleotide ribosomal RNA is filed under the name uncultured bacterium. Its description in RNAcentral is "bacterial SSU rRNA". It matches the Rfam family "Bacterial small subunit ribosomal RNA", at positions 527 to 896 of the family's 1533-position model. RNAcentral also lists the same sequence under 1 other name. The record is from RNAcentral.
GUAGGGUGCAAGCGUUAAUCGGAAUUACUGGGCGUAAAGCGUGCGCAGGCGGUUUUGUAAGUCUGUCGUGAAAGCCCCGGGCUUAACCUGGGAAUUGCGAUGGAGACUGCAAGGCUUGAAUCUGGCAGAGGGGGGUAGAAUUCCACGUGUAGCAGUGAAAUGCGUAGAGAUGUGGAGGAACACCGAUGGCGAAGGCAGCCCCCUGGGUCAAGAUUGACGCUCAUGCACGAAAGCGUGGGGAGCAAACAGGAUUAGAUACCCUGGUAGUCCACGCCCUAAACGAUGUCUACUAGUUGUCGGGUCUUAAUUGACUUGGUAACGCAGCUAACGCGUGAAGUAGACCGCCUGGGGAGUACGGUCGCAAGAUUA